GAUGAACGCUGGCGGCGUGCCUAAUACAUGCAAGUCGAGCGAACAGACGAGGAGUUUGCUCCUCUGACGUUAGCGGCGGACGGGUGAGUAACACGUGGAUAACCUACCUAUAAGACUGGGAUAACUUCGGGAAACCGGAGCUAAUACCGGAUAAUAUAUUGAACCGCAUGGUUCAAUAGUGAAAGACGGUUUUGCUGUCACUUAUAGAUGGAUCCGCGCCGCAUUAGCUAGUUGGUAAGGUAACGGCUUACCAAGGCAACGAUGGGUAGCCGACCUGAGAGGGUGAUCGGCCACACUGGAACUGAGACACGGUCCAGACUCCUACGGGAGGCAGCAGUAGGGAAUCUUCCGCAAUGGGCGAAAGCCUGACGGAGCAACGCCGCGUGAGUGAUGGAGGUCUUCGGAUCGUAAAACUCUGUUAUUAGGGAAGAACAAAUGUGUAAGUAACUAUGCACGUCUUGACGGUACCUAAUCAGAAAGCCACGGCUAACUACGUG
RNAcentral lists this ribosomal RNA (497 nucleotides) under uncultured bacterium. Its description in RNAcentral is "partial 16S ribosomal RNA". It matches the Rfam family "Bacterial small subunit ribosomal RNA", at positions 28 to 507 of the family's 1533-position model. The record is from RNAcentral.